This 583-nucleotide long non-coding RNA is filed under the name Mytilus galloprovincialis (Mediterranean mussel). The record is from RNAcentral. Lineage: Eukaryota; Metazoa; Mollusca; Bivalvia; Mytilida; Mytilidae.
UGGAAGUUGAUUCUCCUCAUGUGAUCGAUCAAAUCACUGACACUUAUCGGUCAUUUUCGUGUUCACGGAGAAUUACGAACAGACAAGUUUUUGUCGUAUAUACGUGCGAAGUAACCCGAAUAGUCCAUUCGUUACAUUCCGUUGAUGUACCCUGCCGAAUAGAGUCAUUCGUUCAAUUUUUAUUUUAGUCCAUUUUUUUUCCUAUUUUUGGUUAGUUUGAUCUUAAUAGUUUAAACCGACAGCUAUCACAUACGAAAUUGGAGAACAAGGCUGGGUCAUUUUCAAUUUUAAUAUUUACAGACAGUAAAAAACCAUUUCUGUAAGUUAAGAAGAUGAUUGUUAAAAAAAUACGUUUGGACCCCUUUAUUAAAUUCGAAAAAUCUAAGUCUUCGUGUAUUAGUCAAUUAAAAUAUUCACAAUUCUAAACGGUUCUAUCCUUCAAUUUAAGUUCUUGAUACAUAAACUAAUUUGUGUAAAAGUGAAUUUGCCGUAAGACAGAGCCCAUUUCGUCGGUUUGUCACAGUAUAAUUUUGCUGUAGCUUAUUAUAUAAAUGUGCAUUCCACAAUAAACAUUUGUAAAAAA